AUAGGGAUACCCUUUUUCCCCCUCCAAAAUGUAUAGACUGCCAUUGUGCUGACAGAUUUGUUUUUAUUACCUUUUAUAUGACCAUAUAAUGUAAUAUUCGUAUGAACGUGAUGCGUAAGUAAGUGGGUUUUCAUGAGAUAGUAAGUGUUUUAUUGUAAGAAGUCCUAGUAAUGGGACCACUCUUAAGUCUCUCUCCAACCCCAUCUUUGUGGUGUGCUGUGGCAUCGCUGCCCUAAACUCUGCCAAUCCCUGCAGAUGAGGUUUUACUACUAUACUCCUCUUUUGAGUCUAAGAGUGUAGGCAAGGGGGCUAGGGAACACAUUUACCGAAGACAUGAACUCCACACUCUCUCUCUUUUUAAGCAUCAUAUCCCGGAAAAGGAUUUGGAAUUAUAUGAUAAAAAUUGGAGAUUGGAUGGCGGUGGGUGUAAGAGUAAGAGAAGAGAUGGUGGUGGGUGUAUGAGUAAGAGAAGAGGUGAGGCGGACAGAAAAUAAGCACCACUAGACGAGUUGCAGCCCAUGGAGUUGGACUACAUUAGCAAGGCAAAAGCUGCUUGCAUUCCACUAUGUGGCUGCUAAAGAUUUCGUGGCCCAGCGCAGGGAGCAAAAUUGGUCCCGAAUCAUCCCCAAUUAACCAUCUUUACUAUCUAGCUGAAAAUUUAGGGAAUUAUAGUAAAAAUAUCAUGGAGGUGAAUUAAAAGUUAUGUUGCAUUUUGUUUUUUUUAUUUAAAAAAUAGGUAAAUUAAUUAAAUUAAAAAAGAAAUUGAUAUUUUCGGUUCAAACUUUCAUAUGUUUGUACUGUUAAAAAUUAGUGUGGUUGUUAGAAUAAUCGAACAAUGACACAUGACGUGCCACUUGUACCUCAUGCUGAUUUAUAAAGAUCAGUUUUUAACAGUAAAAAUGAAUGAAUUUUUUUAUAAAAUAA
Molecule: long non-coding RNA, 924 nt
Organism: Gossypium arboreum
Lineage: Eukaryota; Viridiplantae; Streptophyta; Magnoliopsida; Malvales; Malvaceae
Exons: 2
Source: RefSeq, a predicted model, not a curated record